GGCUCGUUGGUCUAGGGGUAUGAUUCUCGCUUUGGGUGCGAGUGGUCCCGGGUUCAAAUCCCGGACGAGCCC
Molecule: transfer RNA, 72 nt
Filed under: Blattella germanica (German cockroach)
Lineage: Eukaryota; Metazoa; Arthropoda; Insecta; Blattodea; Blattellidae
Also listed under: 1 other name
Description: tRNA-Pro (TGG) (tRNA-Pro-TGG-2-1)
Rfam family: tRNA
About the family: Transfer RNA (tRNA) molecules are approximately 80 nucleotides in length. Their secondary structure includes four short double-helical elements and three loops (D, anti-codon, and T loops).
Source: RNAcentral